GAUGAACGCUGGCGGCGUGCCUAAUACAUGCAAGUAGAACGCUGAAGCUUGGUGCUUGCACCGAGCGGAUGAGUUGCGAACGGGUGAGUAACGCGUAGGUAACCUGCCUGGUAGCGGGGGAUAACUAUUGGAAACGAUAGCUAAUACCGCAUGACAACAGUUAUUGCAUGAUAACUGUUUAAAAGGGGCAACUGCUCCACUACCAGAUGGACCUGCGUUGUAUUAGCUAGUUGGUGAGGUAACGGCUCACCAAGGCGACGAUACAUAGCCGACCUGAGAGGGUGAUCGGCCACACUGGGACUGAGACACGGCCCAGACUCCUACGGGAGGCAGCAGUAGGGAAUCUUCGGCAAUGGACGGAAGUCUGACCGAGCAACGCCGCGUGAGUGAAGAAGGUUUUCGGAUCGUAAAGCUCUGUUGUAAGAGAAGAACGAGUGUGAGAGUGGAAAGUUCACACUGUGACGGUAUCUUACCAGAAA
Molecule: ribosomal RNA, 479 nt
Filed under: Streptococcus sp. oral taxon 074
Lineage: Bacteria; Bacillati; Bacillota; Bacilli; Lactobacillales; Streptococcaceae
Description: bacterial SSU rRNA
Rfam family: Bacterial small subunit ribosomal RNA
Source: RNAcentral